GCGUGUGUAGCUCAGUUGGAUAGAGUGUUUGGCUACGAACCAAAAGGUCGGGGGUUCGAAUCCCUCCACGCGUA
This 74-nucleotide transfer RNA is filed under the name Clostridium sp. CAG:729. Its description in RNAcentral is "transfer RNA-Arg(ACG)". It matches the Rfam family "tRNA". Rfam says of the family: Transfer RNA (tRNA) molecules are approximately 80 nucleotides in length. Their secondary structure includes four short double-helical elements and three loops (D, anti-codon, and T loops). Further hydrogen bonds mediate the characteristic L-shaped molecular structure. tRNAs have two regions of fundamental functional importance: the anti-codon, which is responsible for specific mRNA codon recognition, and the 3' end, to which the tRNAs corresponding amino acid is attached (by aminoacyl-tRNA synthetases). tRNAs cope with the degeneracy of the genetic code in two manners: having more than one tRNA (with a specific anti-codon) for a particular amino acid; and 'wobble' base-pairing, i.e. permitting non-standard base-pairing at the 3rd anti-codon position. RNAcentral also lists the same sequence under 7 other names. The record is from RNAcentral. Lineage: Bacteria; Bacillati; Bacillota; Clostridia; Eubacteriales; Clostridiaceae.